RNAcentral lists this ribosomal RNA (1009 nucleotides) under uncultured bacterium. RNAcentral describes it as "bacterial SSU rRNA". It matches the Rfam family "Bacterial small subunit ribosomal RNA", at positions 356 to 1376 of the family's 1533-position model. The record is from RNAcentral.
GGGGAAUAUUGCACAAUGGGCGCAAGCCUGAUGCAGCGACGCCGCGUGAGGGAUGGAGGCCUUCGGGUUGUAAACCUCUUUUAUCGGGGAGCAAGCGAGAGUGAGUUUACCCGUUGAAUAAGCACCGGCUAACUACGUGCCAGCAGCCGCGGUAAUACGUAGGGUGCAAGCGUUAUCUGGAAUUAUUGGGCGUAAAGGGCUCGUAGGCGGUUCGUCGCGUCCGGUGUGAAAGUCCAUCGCUUAACGGUGGAUCCGCGCCGGGUACGGGCGGGCUUGAGUGCGGUAGGGGAGACUGGAAUUCCCGGUGUAACGGUGGAAUGUGUAGAUAUCGGGAAGAACACCAAUGGCGAAGGCAGGUCUCUGGGCCGUUACUGACGCUGAGGAGCGAAAGCGUGGGGAGCGAACAGGAUUAGAUACCCUGGUAGUCCACGCCGUAAACGGUGGAUGCUGGAUGUGGGGCCCGUUCCACGGGUUCCGUGUCGGAGCUAACGCGUUAAGCAUCCCGCCUGGGGAGUACGGCCGCAAGGCUAAAACUCAAAGAAAUUGACGGGGGCCCGCACAAGCGGCGGAGCAUGCGGAUUAAUUCGAUGCAACGCGAAGAACCUUACCUGGGCUUGACAUGUUCCCGACGGUCGUAGAGAUACGGCUUCCCUUCGGGGCGGGUUCACAGGUGGUGCAUGGUCGUCGUCAGCUCGUGUCGUGAGAUGUUGGGUUAAGUCCCGCAACGAGCGCAACCCUCGCCCCGUGUUGCCAGCGGAUUAUGCCGGGAACUCACGGGGGACCGCCGGGGUUAACUCGGAGGAAGGUGGGGAUGACGUCAGAUCAUCAUGCCCCUUACGUCCAGGGCUACACACGUACUACAAUGGAUGUAAACAGAGGGAAGCAAAAUAGCGAUAUGGAGCAAACCCCAAAAAGCAUUCUCAGUUCAGAUUGCAGGCUGCAACUCGCCUGUAUGAAGUUGGAAUUGCUAGUAAUCGCGGAUCAGCAUGCCGCGGUGAAUACGUUCCCG